AUGAGGGGGGGCAAGGGGUUUAACUGUUAUGCUGUUAUGGGGCAUUUUAAUUCUUUGUUAUCUGUUAUUCUGAAAAUAUAUUUACUGUUAGCUGUUAUUGUCUUAUUCUUUGUUAGCUGUUAUAUGACUAUUAUCUAUUUUGUUAUCUGUUAUUGUGAGAAUCUAUUUGCUGUUAACUGUUAUUGAAAAUUGGAAUGUUAGCAUUUUGACAGCCAAUCUUCCGUAGAAAUUGAAGAUUAUUGAAAAUUGUGAUUUGAAUGGAUAAUAGUCUCAUUGACACGCUUACCACAUCUUCUUACAAUGUAUAUCUAUUGGGGUCUUUCUACUGGUAUUAUAGGGUGGCCCUGUAUUUGCAGAAGAAUUUCAGUAACAUACAUCACAUAAACAUAUAAAAUCAAUUGGACCCAGGACCAUUCCAGUAUAUAUUAUUAUUAUCUUUUGUAAUAAAUUCCAUUGUCUGUGAACAUGUAGCAUUUUGUACAAAUUAUAAUUCACUUAUUACUUGUACAAUAACUCAUAGUAUGGAUUUUGUUAUAAAAAAAGCAUUGGUACACCCUAUAGAUUUUUUUAUUCAAUGACCACAUAAUAAUCUUUAUGUUGUACUAUUACACCACUGUCCCUGAUUAGGGGAGGAUUAGACAC
RNAcentral lists this long non-coding RNA (642 nucleotides) under Mytilus galloprovincialis (Mediterranean mussel). The record is from RNAcentral. Lineage: Eukaryota; Metazoa; Mollusca; Bivalvia; Mytilida; Mytilidae.